CAACUGGUGGAUGGCUAGGCUCUGGCGCUGAAGAAGGGCGCGGCAAGCAGCGAUAUGCUCCGGGUAGGCGCAUGCAGCCUUCGAUCCGGAGAUCCCCUAAUGGGACAUCCUAUCGGGGGUUAAUAGCUCCCGAUGUUCCGACGAGGAACGGGAACUCCCUGAACGAAAACAUUCUAGUAAGGGAAGGAGGAGAUACCAAUCGGUAUUCCCUCAGUAGGGGCGACCGAAAGGGGAACAGCCCAAACCGAACCCUUAGCGAAAGCGAAAGGGGAUGUGGGGUUAUGGGCCCUCCCGCUUCUUACCCAGCGAAGCCGAAGUAGUCUGAAAAGGCUCACCGUAGAGGGUGAUAGUCCCGUAAGCGUAUGUUGGGUUGAAUUGGGGAGGAGUCCCGGAGUACUACGUCUUGAUCCUGACGUGGGAAUUUGGGAGUCACCGACUUCCAAGGCUAAAUACGUCCAGAGUCCGAUAGGGCACUAGUACCGUGAGGGAAAGCUGAAAAGAACCCCGAGAGGGGGGUGAAAAGAGUCUGAAACCAGUUGGCUACUUGUGGCAUGGUAUGAAAGGAAAGAACCUCUCUGAAGGAACCUCCGGAAGGAGUAGUACGAAGAGAGGGGACCAGUAUCAUGCCUUCCGUUUCGGAGCACGGCCCAGGGAGUUCAUUGAGGUGGCGAGCUUAAGAGGGUCAACCUCGAAGGCUAAGGGAAACCGAUAGCCCGCAACCAUAGCCUCUUCGCGCUACGAUGCAGGAGGCAACUGUGAAUGCUGAAGAGCGUGAAUGUUAUGGCCAGGGGCAAGGUCUGAUGAGGGCCUGUACAGUCACCUCGAUGAGAACCCGAUACCGAGCGAUCUAGGCCUGAGCAGGAUGAAGUCGGGCGAAAGCUCGAUGGAGGUCCGCAGGGGUUCUGACGUGCAAUUCGUUCCUCUGACUUGGGCCUAGGGGCAAAAGACCAAUCAAGCUCGGUGGUAGCUGGUUCCUCCCGAAGUGGGUCCCAGCCCAGCCUGCCUGGAGGUUGCGAGUGGGGUAGAGCACCAAUCAGGGAGUCAUAAACCGAAAGGUUUAGCUUCCUCUUUGAACUCCGAACCUGCUCGCUCCGUAGAAGGGCGGAGACGGUUUCCGUGGGAAAAGCUCACGGGACGAGAGGGGAACACCCCAGACUGAGGUUAAGGCCCCAAAAUGCUGGCUGAGUGUUAACUCAAAAGGCGUCUUUGAUCGAAGACAGCUGGGAGGUAGGCUUAGAAGCAGUUACCCUUUAAAGAGUGCGUAACAGCUCACCAGCCGAGAUCAAAGGCCCUGAAGAUUUUCGGGGCUAAGUCAGCUGCCGAUACCUCAGAGCGUUCAUUUGUUAAUGAACGUUGGUAGGGAGGCGUUGCGGUCGGGCAGAAGCUGGUUCGAGAGGACCAGUGGACCGAUCGCAAGUGCGAAUCCUGGGGGAAGUAACAGCGUAGAAAGGUGAAAAUCCUUUCCGCCGUAAGGGCCAGGUUUCCUCGGCAACGCGUCGUCGACCGAGGGUCAGUCGGUCCUAAGGCAGCACAUAACCUGUAGCUGUCGAAUGGGAAACUGGUUAAUAUUCCAGUACCUUGGGGAUACGUUUGAGCCUGAUUCCUGCGCUUCGAGAUAUGCCGAGCGGGGCUGCCGCCCUGUCUAACUUUCCGAAGCCUGGGGAGAACCGUAAUGGUGAGAACCGGGCGAAGGAGGGAAUGGCCGGCCGUUAGGCUGGUUCGGCAGAUUCUUGGAGCCCAUGAAAAGGGAAUUAGGAAGGAUUCUCCAAGCCCGUACCGAGAACCGACACAGGUGCCCUAGAUGAGUAGUCUCAGGCGUGUCGGGAACACCCUAGGUCAGGGAACUCGGCAAAUUAGCCCCGUACCUUCGGUAUAAGGGGUGCCUGGGUCCCUAAGCGAAUGCUUGGGGGUCUAGGUCGCAGUGACAAGGGGGAAGCGACUGUUUAAUAAAAACAUAGAUCCCCGCAAGCCCGUAAGGGUGUGAACGGGGGUUGAAUCCUGGCCACUAGCGGUCCGUGAAAACCGGGUACAACCGGGCGAAGCGCCGCUGAAGGCCGGGAGUAACUCUGACUCUCUUAAGGUAGCCAAAUGCCUUGCCGGGUAAGUUCCGGCGUGCAUGAAUGGACCAACGACUUCCCCGCUGUCCCGACCUGGGGCCCGGUGAACCUACCUCUUGGUGAAAAGGCCAAGGACUUCCAACGUGAGGAGAAGACCCCGUGGAGCUUUACUGCAGCCUGUUGCUGGGAUAGGGUCAUGAUUGCAGAGCGUAGGUGGGAGCCGUUAAUCCCAGCCUCUCAGGGGGCUGGGGGAGGCGCCAAUGUAACACCACCCAUUCAUGGCUAUAUCUCUGACCAGGACGCAAGUCCUGGGACAACGGCAGGUGGGCAGUUCGGCUGGGGCGGCACGCCCUUGAAAAUGUAUCAAGGGCGCCCAAAGGUCAGCUCAGUCGGGUCAGAACUCCGACGUAGAGGGCAAGGCCAAAAGCUGGCUUGAUUGGAUCCUGAAAAGCGAGGGAUCCAAGGGCGAAAGCCUGGCCUAGCGACCGCUCGUGCCCCCCUCGGUGGGGGCCGGGCAUGACAGAAAAGUUACCCCGGGGAUAACAGAGCCGUCGCGGGCGAGAGCUCCCAUCGACCCCGCGGUUUGCUACCCAGAUGUCGGCUCUUCCCAUCCUGGGAGUGCAGCAGCUCCCAAGGGUGGGGCUGCCCGCCCAUUAAAGGGGAACGUGAGUUGGGUUUAGACCGUCGUGAGACAGGUCGGACUCUCUCUGUUGGAAGCGUUGGUCGCUUGAGGGGAAGAUGCGGCUAGUACGAGAGGAACGCUGUGUCGCUGCCUCUAGUUUACCGGUUGUCCGGUAGGGCACUGCCGGGCAGCCACGCAGCAAGGGAUAACCGCUGAAAGCAUCUAAGUGGGAAACCCGCCCCGAGACUAAGCGACCAUUCCGCUCAAAGCGGACGAAGGCUCCUGUAGAACACAGGGUUGAUGGAACGGGGGUGUAAGCGCCAAGGCUUCGGCCGAGGCGUUCAGCCCGCCGUCCCCAAUCGCCUGAGGUGCUGACCC
Molecule: ribosomal RNA, 3057 nt
Filed under: Candidatus Methanosuratincola sp.
Lineage: Archaea; Thermoproteati; Thermoproteota; Methanosuratincolia; Candidatus Methanomethylicales; Candidatus Methanomethylicaceae
Description: 23S ribosomal RNA
Rfam family: Archaeal large subunit ribosomal RNA
Source: RNAcentral